This is a ribosomal RNA of Yarrowia lipolytica, 120 nucleotides long. NCBI's taxonomy places the organism in Eukaryota, Fungi, Ascomycota, Dipodascomycetes, Dipodascales. The record is from Rfam.
AGUUGCGGCUAUAUCCUGGUGAAAAUACGGCUCCCGGUGAUCAGCCAUAGUCAAGCACCAGAGAGAGCCUAGUUAGUAUUGUAGCGUGAGACCAAACGAGAAUCCUGGAUGCUGCAAUUG